RNAcentral lists this ribosomal RNA (509 nucleotides) under uncultured bacterium. RNAcentral's name for it is "partial 16S ribosomal RNA". It matches the Rfam family "Bacterial small subunit ribosomal RNA", at positions 28 to 523 of the family's 1533-position model. The record is from RNAcentral.
GACGAACGCUGGCGGCGUGCCUAACACAUGCAAGUGGAGCGACGAACCGGGCUUCGGCCCGGAGCAAAGCCGCGAACGGGUGAGUAACGCGUGGGUAACCUGCCCCAAUGACUGGGACAACCCGAGGAAACUCGGGCUAAUACCGGAUGUGUACCCAGACCUUCUGGUCUGGGUGCAAAGGAAGCUUCGGCCUCCGCAUUGGGAUGGGCCCGCGUCCCAUUAGCUUGUUGGUGAGGCAGCGGCUUACCAAGGCGAUGAUGGGUAGCUGGUCUGAGAGGACGAUCAGCCACACUGGGACUGAGACACGGCCCAGACUCCUACGGGAGGCAGCAGUGGGGAAUCUUGCGCAAUGCGCGAAAGCGUGACGCAGCAACGCCGCGUGAGGGAAGAAGGCCUUCGGGUUGUAAACCUCUUUCAGUUGGGACGAAGCUUCAUCAGUUAAUAGCUGGUUGGAGUGACGGUACCUUCAGAAGAAGCCCCGGCUAACUACGUGCCAGCCGCCGCAGUAA